GAGAAUGGUUAAUGGAAGCUCGAGCAAGCAAAUGAAUUCCCUUAUUCUCUUGUUUUCUAAUUCACAUGAUCUUAAUAUUAUGUGUAGAAGCUAAAAAGAGAUCUACAAUCAGCAAUAACUAAACCAAAAUCUGAGUUAUCAACUUUUAAGAUAGUUUAAAGCAUAAACUAGCAACCGGCAGUCUGAAAAAAUAUAGCCACUAAGUGGAAGAUUAGCUUGAGCAAAGAUCAAGCAUUGUCUAAGUGCUAGAGCUUCAAUAAGAGCUGGACCCCUGUUCCUUCUUUGUAACCAGAAAUAGCCAGGGUGAAAGAGCCUUCAACAUGUUCAAAGACAGCCCCAAAGCCAGCAAAAUCAGCUGCUGGAAAUAAUGCACCAUCGACGAAAGCCAACCAGUUUGUUGACGACGUGAUCUGCAUGGAAGUAGCACCAAGGGGAUGGCCACCGGGUGUAGACAGCACAACCAUAUUUGCAUGGGUCAGAGCAUGGAAUUCGUGCACGUAGUUUCUUGCAUCCAUAUGAAUCUGCGCUGGAGUCUGCCAUAUUUGGGACUAGAUAUAGUUGUUCCUAGACCCCAAUUUUUCCAUGCGUAAGCAGCUACCUCUGCUGCCUUUUCUGCACCUUGUGUCGAAAAUACCUGCAAAAGAAAAUCGUGAUAGGUGAUAAUAGCGUUAGGGAUAAUAAAACCUCCACACCUCCACAUCUCCGCCGAUUUUGGGUAAUGCAAUAUGUAAAAAAUGACAAAGAGAUUAUAAUGAAAGUUAUUAACAUA
RNAcentral lists this long non-coding RNA (769 nucleotides) under Jatropha curcas. Its description in RNAcentral is "long non-coding RNA (JCUR_LNC002968)". Lineage: Eukaryota; Viridiplantae; Streptophyta; Magnoliopsida; Malpighiales; Euphorbiaceae. The record is from RNAcentral.